This is a long non-coding RNA of Vicia villosa (hairy vetch), 1156 nucleotides long. RefSeq lists it as uncharacterized. Lineage: Eukaryota; Viridiplantae; Streptophyta; Magnoliopsida; Fabales; Fabaceae. The transcript is spliced from 7 exons. The record is from RefSeq and is a predicted model, not a curated record.
UGGACAAACGAAUGUGAAUCACAACCUUUCACUUCUCCCACUCUCUCUAUUUUCUCUCUUCUCGUCCCUCUUCUCCUCUGAUUUUUCCCAAUCUCUUCUUAUAUUCUCUUUCAAACCCUAACAAUGCUGCAGCUUCUUAUGGCCACCACACAUCCGCCGACGCCGUCUCUCUUUCUGGUGGCCAUCAAAACGCGAAGCACAGUCACUCCGCCGUGCGGGACCAAACAACAACCAUUCAGAUCCAACACGGAUAUUCAUACCUUGGUGUUUCAACUGUGAGGACACUAGCAAGCAAGUAGAGAAGCUGGGAAAGCACUACAAAGGAUCGAGUAAUCUACUAUUUUCAAGGAUAAAUGCUUCCGUAAAUGAACAUCCAAAACUGCAAGUGAAUGACUUUCCGACACUUUUACUUUACAAAGCAAGUGAUAAGAUGAAUCCGAGAUAACUUUGAUGAGCGGGAACGAGACAUGCCUCAUGCUAUCAAUGUGACAGCAGCUGAGUAGGAGGCAAUUGGAAGGUUGCUGGCACCUCCACCCAUCCCAGGACUUUUAGACAGUCAAUCCUCCAUUGUCAUGCUUAAUACGGAUGAACACGUUUACAAAAGGAUCGAGGAAUACUUUAAAUGAUUCCAGCAUACUUCAAAUGUGGCCGCCGUGCAAACUUCAAAUGUUCCUUCCGCGCAAUGUCCAAAUGUUGCUGGCGUGCAAACUCCAAAUUUCGCUGCAGGGCAACAACUACAGUCAACCAGAAUAUCCAAAAUACUGAAUUAAGCAUGUCUCAAACAAGCUCUACUAACAUGACAUCGAAGAGGGAUGCUAACGCCAUCGGAUUUGAUGAAACUUCUCCGAUUAAGUAUCUAACACCCCUGAAUUUAGUCACUAAAGUGAAACACAUGAAGAAGGCAUGACAUGGAACAUCAAAUGUGGCUUCCAACUCAUUUUGUGCAUCCUGGAUUUAUGCAGUUGACAUUACUUUUGUAAUUUUUAUUUUCAAGUUACUAAGACAUAUGUGAAAAACAUUAUUGCUUCCUUUUGCUCAUCAUUUGCUAUGCAUGAUGAAAAGCUUACACUAAGGCUGUUUGUAUUUUGAUACAUUCUCUCAAAUUAUUGACAUUUGUUAUCUGACAUUCUGUGUUCAAGAAAAAUAACAAAAUCUU